AUUGAACGCUGGCGGCAUGCCUUACACAUGCAAGUCGAACGGCAGCGGACCUUCGGGUGCCGGCGAGUGGCGAACGGGUGAGUAAUAUAUCGGAACGUACCUUUCAGUGGGGGAUAACGUAGCGAAAGUUACGCUAAUACCGCAUAUUCUGUGAGCAGGAAAGCAGGGGAUCGCAAGACCUUGCGCUGAUUGAGCGGCCGAUAUCAGAUUAGCUAGUUGGUGAGGUAAAGGCUCACCAAGGCGACGAUCUGUAGCGGGUCUGAGAGGAUGAUCGCCACACUGGAACUGAGACACGGUCCAGACUCCUACGGAGGCAGCAGUGGGGAAUUUUGGACAAUGGCGCAAGCCUGAUCCAGCCAUGCCGCGUGAGUGAAGAAGGCUCGGUGUAAG
Molecule: ribosomal RNA, 390 nt
Filed under: uncultured bacterium
Lineage: Bacteria
Description: bacterial SSU rRNA
Rfam family: Bacterial small subunit ribosomal RNA
Source: RNAcentral